This 1537-nucleotide transfer RNA is filed under the name Phasianus colchicus (ring-necked pheasant). RNAcentral describes it as "lncRNA (ENSPCLG00000015350.1)". The record is from RNAcentral. Lineage: Eukaryota; Metazoa; Chordata; Aves; Galliformes; Phasianidae.
CACAGCAGACUGUACUAAAGAGUCUGUCUCCCUCUAUCUCAGAGAGCCCUUGAGUUACUGGGAGACCACUCUCAGGUCACCUUGUAUUUGGCUUUGCUGAACCUCAUGAGGUUCUCCUGCGCAAGCCUCUCUAGGUCCCUCAGGAUGGCAUCCUGUCAAUCGUACUAUGCAGCUCGGUGUCAUCCACAAACUUGCUGAGGAUGCACUCAAUCCAACUGAUGAAAGCAUUUAAGUAUUGGUCCCAGCAGUGACUCCAGAGGGGCACCACUUGUCACUGAUCUCCUGGAAUUUGAGCCAUUGGCCAACAUAAUCUGGAUAUGAACUUAAAAUCAGUUCCUCAUCCAUCAAAGAUUCCACCUGUCAAAUCCAUAUUUUUCCAGUUUAGAGAGAAGAAUGUCAAAAGCCUGACUAUGAUCCAGGUAAAUGACAUCAGUGAUUCUUAGACAUCCGUUGACACCACCAUAGAAGGCUGACAUGCCCUUGGUGAAGUCACGCUGGUUAGGACAGCCCAACUCUUCUCUCAGAAACUUCUCUUCCUUACACGUUCCUCGGCACUUGGAGGUUCCAUGAUCUUCUGCAUCACAAUGGUGAAGCUGGCAGGUCAGCAGCUCCCUGUGUCAUCCAUUCUGUGCUUCAUAAAAACAGCCGUGACAUUGCAGGAAAGCACCAGCACUGCACAGACUCCUGCUGUUUCUGGGUGCCACACACUUCCCUAAGGCACCAGAAGCUCCAGCUGCCCCACUGGCCCCAGGCAGAGCACAGUUGAGGAACCUGCCUGCUGGAGCAGGCAAAGCACGUGCUGGUGGCAGCCACUUCAGCAUGUCAAUGAUGCUGGAGCACCUGGACCUGCAGUGCAAAGCCCUCCUGAUGCCCUCUGGUGGGGACUCAGGUGCUCUGAGACUCGGCUGUGUGGCUGUGUAGAGGUCCUCCCCAUGGGAACAGUGCAGCUGAACCCUGUUCAGCACCGUGUCAUCCUUCCUCAGACCCGUGGGCAGCUCCACCCAUGAGGAAGAGAGCUGGGUGGGGAUCCCAGGCUGGCUGCCAGGCAGAAGGCUGAACCUUGAAGCUGAUGCUGCUGGUGUUGGUGCCCCAGUGCCCCACGCCGUCCUGCUGGACUCCUACACCUGCCUAUGUGGUGAGAAUAGCAGGCCCAUGCAUAGCUGGGAUUAGCCAUAGGUGAGAGGUAAAUUCCGGUGCCGAGGGCUCGGCUUGGGGCUGCUCGAGCACCGCGGGGCCUGGCACCGUCCUGCCUGGCUCCAGGCCAUGCUGUGUGCAAUGAGAGCCGCGUUCUGCCGUUUGCUCUUUCUUAAACCUCUGUAGAGCCUAUGCCUCUUCUGCAGGAGCUGAGUAAGGCUGGGCUCAGUGACACAAAUGUCACCGAGCUGCGGUGACGCGACUGGAUUCACUCUCCAGUCUUCCCAGCUGCGACGGCAAAAGUAACGAUGAGGGUGGGAUUCGAACCCACGCGUGCAGAGCACAAUGGAUUAGCAGUCCAUCGCCUUAACCACUCGGCCACCUCAUCCUGCCCCGCGCCGCC